Molecule: ribosomal RNA, 488 nt
Filed under: uncultured bacterium
Lineage: Bacteria
Description: bacterial SSU rRNA
Rfam family: Bacterial small subunit ribosomal RNA
Source: RNAcentral
AAAUGAAUAGACGGGCACCCGCACAAGCGGUGGAGCAUGCUGUUUAAUUCGAAACUACGCGAAGAACCUUACCUAGAUUUGACAUCCCGGGCAAAGCUAUAGAGAUAUAGUGGAGGCUAUCCCGGUGACAGAUGGUGCAUGGUUGUCGUCAGCUCGUGUCGUGAGAUGUUUGGUUAAGUCCAACAACGAGCGCAACCCUCGUCUUUAGUUGCUAACAUUAAGUUGAGAACUCUAGAGAUACUGCCAGUGUAAACUGGAGGAAGGUGGGGAUGACGUCAAAUCAUCAUGCCUCUUACAUCUAGGGCUACAGGCGUGCUACAAUGGCCAAUACAACGAGUCGCAACACGGCAACGUGAAGCUAAUCUCUGAAAGUUGGUCCCAGUUCGGAUUGGAGUCUGCAACUCGACUCCAUGAAGUUGGAAUCGCUAGUAAUCGUGAAUCAGAAUGUCGCGGUGAAUACGUUCUCGGGUGUUGUACACACCGCCCGU